This 22353-nucleotide long non-coding RNA is filed under the name Linum usitatissimum (flax). Its description in RNAcentral is "long non-coding RNA (LUSI_LNC007495)". Lineage: Eukaryota; Viridiplantae; Streptophyta; Magnoliopsida; Malpighiales; Linaceae. The record is from RNAcentral.
GAGAAGCACCUAACACUUAUGUAGUCAGAGAGUCACUCCUCACCAUUAUCAUACGAGCGAAGACAACAGUCGUCUAACCCUCUGUUCGCGGCGGUGGCGACGACGCACUCUUUUUUUUCUUCCUUGAUUAUGAGAACUUGAGAGGUAACCCUAUAAAGCUCUAAUCUUGAUACAAUCUCGUCCCUUCCAUUUAAUUCCCUUCACAAGUGUAGUACGCUUUGGCUUUGUUCAAUUCUAGGAGCUCUUACCAACUUCUCGACGACAGCAAUCUUUGGGAAAUUUUGGAUUAAUACCUCUGGAUCGACCCAGUCCCUCCAAAGCCUCCUGUUAGCAUCAGACAAAGGUUAGGAACUCUUUCGACUAAUUAGUUUUGAUUUCGGUCGAGUUUACUUGUGUAUUAAGCCUUCGUUGGAGCUAGGUUCACCUCCACCAAAUUUUGUGUUCAUGUUAAGAAUUUUGUGGGAUAAGAUGAUUGGAUAAUGUCUAUAGUGAUACCUACAUUUUUCAGUAUUUCCGUUUCAAUCACUAAACUUGUAGAAAUUAGAAUCGGUACUCAUCGCUUAAUAAAUUGCCUGACGUAAAUAAACUAUUGAUAUCUGCCUGUUUAGUAAUCAACUUUCUCCUUUUAGCUGCCACGACUUGAACUUUCUAGUUGUGACAUAAUACACCCAAAUAAUUUAUUAUGUAGUUUAAUCUAGUAUGAAAAUUCGGUUAAUUUUUUUUUGUAAAUUAUUAUAUUAUAGAAUUGAUUCCUAAUUGAUUUAAAGCUUGUCAUUGAUAAUAGAUUGCUAGUAUGAAACUCACUAUAUAAUAAAAACAAAGAAUUGUUUAUAAUAAUUUGAUAAUAGAAUAGAUUUAAAUUAUGAAUUAGUUAUUACUAGUUCAUACAAAGUAGACUCUUUAGUUCAUAAAUUAGACAUGAUCAAUAUCCGGUUCUUCUAGGAAAAUUAAUUAGAUCAUAAGAUCGAUUACUAACAUGAUUGAGAUUACAAAUAAUUAGUAGAGCAUAAUCAUGUGUAAAUGAAUUCGUUUGUCACACUUCACAAUCGACCAUGAAGUGGUUUUUCCCCAAGUCGACGAAUCGCCAUCCUAGACUUCUUCAACUAGGAUUGGAUUAAGUUUAAUCUUCAUAUUCUCGUCUUUAAGUUCUUAAAGACGAUCGGCUCUAUAGACCGGACUCUGAUUGCUACAUUGAGCCGCUCCCGCUUAUUUAUAAGGUGGGUGGUUUAAGGGGAUAAAUUCUUAUCGUUGCUAUAGUUAGGUUAUGCAUGUUUUAUGUUAUGUUUAAAUUAUGUAGUUCAAUUCAUUUAUGUUGAAGUCAUUUACUUUAUUCUUAUGAUGCUCUUAUGUGCAUAUAUGAUUAAGUAAGCUAGAAAAUGAUAUGAUUAAGUAGUUAGUGAACAGAAAGAACUACCAUAAGCCUAGACCUUUAGUAGACAACCUAGUAGUCAAGUGAUAUAGCAGAACAAAGCUAUUUACCUAGACUCCUGAUCCAGAAUGUCAGUGUAUGACCUUGGACCUCUAGAGAUCCACUGUUAUCAAUUGGACCACUAGAGAUCCAAUGUUUGCAUUUCAGAUCACCAGAGAUUCGUUAUUAGCUAUUGGGCCACUAGAGUCUCGUUUUUAGCUUUUGGGCCACUAGAGUCCGAUAUGAUAGUACUGGGCCACUAAAGUCCAACAUGAUAGUACUAGGCCACCAGAGACCCAUGGUGUUAUAUUAACUUUGACAAAUGGAUGGUAGGUCUAGUGAGAUGAGUUUAGGGGACGCCCUGUAGUUAUGAUAUCCUAGAUGUAUGAUGCUAGCUGAAGUUAGACAACCUUAGUAGUGGUUGAAGAGUAAUGGAAAUGAAUUUUAGCUCUAUAUGAUUCGAUGAAAUUGUGCCUUUAUGUCAGUAUAUUGAUUAUUAAGAUUAGAGCACAAAAGACUAACCCCAUCCCAGCUCAUCUUGAAGUCGAUGUUAAGAAUAUUAAACUCCUCACAAGCUUUCGAUACAACGUUGGAUCUCAAACAGGUUCGCCCACAUCCCAGCUCAUCUUCACAUCGAGUUCAACAGGAGGACUAAACGGCUUACAAUCAGUGUGUCAACCACAGAGGAGGAGAUCAACAAUGUAUUUGAGUUGAGUAACAAACACACCACUAUCAUUACGAGUAAUUUCCAAACCAAGAAAAUAACUGAGGUCACCGAGCUCCUUCAUUUUAAAGUGAUAUCGCUGGAGGUUCUCAAGUUUAGCUAUACCGUCACCAUUGCUUCCGGUGAUGAUCAUGUCAUCAACAUAUACAAGAAUGAAUGUAAUGCUGCGAGGUAACUACUUGAUAAACAGAGAGGGGUCAUUAAUACUUUGAAUGAACCCUCCUUCUAAAAUUGUAUCCUGAAACUUCUCGAACCAUGCGCGAGGGACUUGUUUGAGACCAUAUAGAGAAUGAUGAAGAAGGAAAACCUGACGAGGUGUAGAGUCGGCAUACCUCGGGGAACACGCCAUGUAUACUAUCUCCUUUAAAUUACCAUGGAGAAAGGCAUUCUUCACGUCGAGCUAUAGGUUGCCAGCAAGAUUCAGAUAGUUUGCAUUUUAGAAAAAGAAGCAAAGGUCUCAUUGUAAUCAACCCCCACUCCUGACGAUACCCUUGAGCAACAAGGCGGGCUUUAAAGCGAUUAACAUUCCCAUCCGGUUGAUACUUUACCGUAUAGACCCACCGACUUCAUAUCAGAGAGAUAUUCGGUGGAUGAGGCACCAAGUCCCACGUAUGGUUCUCGUGUAGGGCGCGUAAUUCCUUAUCCAUUGCAGCUCGUCAUCAUGGAUCCUAAAUAGCUUGUGCAAAUGUCGUAGGAAUUUCCACCGGGUCUACAUAAUAUGUGAAAAAGUCCUGAAGGUGGCAGCAAAGCUGACCAAACGUCGGACGUGGUAACCUGUAAUUGCUCUGGUGAUGGUAGAGGAGAUACAUGAGGAGUGCAUUUGGUAGCUGCGGUGAUGGCGGAUGAUCAGGGUUCAUCCCAAGGUCCACGUCCACGUGGUCAUCAAGAGGAGGGUCCUCCAAAAAUAAAUCAAGAGAUGGUGCAGGUCCAGCGACAGUAGGUGAUUGCUCUGCAUAAUAGUAGUUAUUCUCCAAGAAGAAAACAUGAUAAGAAAGUCACAUCCAUCGAAAAUGAGGAUCAUAACACAUAUACCCUUUAUGAACAUCACUAUAACCAAGAAACACACUGUGCAGUUUUAGUAGUCAACUUAGUUCGUUCACAUACAGGAAGAAGCACAUAACAAAUAUAGCUGAAUACCUGGAGACGGUCAUAAGACGACGCACGACGAUAUAAGGCCUGAUAUGGACAGGUAGUCUGCAAGACAUGAGUAACCUAUCGGUAAAUUAAGUAGAUAACCGUGUGACAUGGUAUUACUGCCCGAGUGAGACCAAGAACAUGACUAUGUUUGCAUUCGACAACUCCAUCUUAUUGAGAGAUACCCGGACACGACAUUUGAGAGAGAAUACCAUGCUCCCUAUCAAACUGGUGUAAGGCGGUAGAGUUGAAUUUGCCACCAGGAUCAGAUCGAAUUGUUUUAACGGCGGUAUGAAAUUGAGUCUGAACUAUCUGAAUAAACUCUUGAGUAGCAUUAAGAAACUCUGAUUGAAACCGCAGAAAAUAAAUCCAUGUAUACCGAGUAGCAUGAUCAAUGAAGAGUGCAAAGUACUGGUAACCCAAACGUGAAACAACUAGUGCAUGCCCUUAUAAAUAAGUAUGAACAAGAUCAAAAGGUGUUGAAAUAUCAUUCGUACUGCUAGUAAAGGUCUGUUAACUGUCUUGGCCUCAAUACAACUAGUACAAGAUGGAAUAAGCUGAUCAUUUAACUUAAUACUAAAAGUUAAUAAAUUUUCUUGAAACAUAGUAGUAAGGCAUUCAGAAUGGGGAUGUCCCAAACGUGAAUACCAUAAUCUCCAUGCUGCAAAUCCUGGACGAGUGCCAUUAGUCGGCAGAGGGGAAGACUCUGAAACGGGAUUAAGUUGCUAGAGACAAAAUGUGCACCCUUGUUUACUCCCCUUCCCGACCUCCUUAUGGGUUCGUAGAUCCUACACAGAACAACCAGAGGAUUUGAAUGUGACACGAUAUCCAUUAUUGAUAAGCUGACCAACAGAGAGUAAAUUAGGAGUGAAUUGGGGCACAUGGAGAACGUUGUCGAGACAAAGUGAGGGUGUGGAGAUAGAUCCAUAACCAGCAACAGGUAUAGUAUCAUCAUUAGCCACACGGGCAUUAUGACUUUAUAUAGGGAAGUAGGUGCUAAAAAGAGAUUUAUCUCCUAUCAUGUGAUUGUAAGCAACAGUAGUAGCAAAUGCUGAAUGUAUUCUAGAAGAAAGCAAUAUAGGAAGUGCUUGUUGUACAAGGGCUUCGAUGGAAGUAGCCGAGAGUGGAUCAGGGGUCUCAGUCGAGUGAACAGAAGCAGCAACAGUAGUAUAGGCGUUAAGACCUGCUUAGUUCAAUGAUUUGGCAGCUCGAUUUUUCAGAAUCGGACAGUCCAGUAUAAUGUGAUCGUGAGUUUUGCAAAAAUUCCUCUUGUGGUAGUGCAAUGUAUUGUGCCCUUUGAUACUGCAGUGAUGACAAAAAGCAUCCACAGAUGAAGUCGAGGCAGCAACCAUAGAGGAUGAUUUAUGGUUUGAGUUAUAAGUUGGUGCCGCCGCAAAAAACGCGAAUGAGGGUGAGCUAGGAGGAUCAAUCUGAGCUUGCGUUUUAAAACACGUUUCAACACGAAUCUAUUCACCCAAGACCUGUUCCAAGUCAGUAGUAUUGUUGCUAACCAUUAUAGACCAGACAUGUUCAAACUCGAGUUGAAGCCGCAUAAGAAAGUGGAGGACUCGACUGUGGUGUCGUUCCUUAGUGAGAGAUGCACUUGUAACAUAAUCAUGAAUGGAAAUAGCCAUAAGAUCUUGUUCCGCCUAGAGUUGACUCGCUGUGAGAUAAUACCUAUGAAUGUCGAGGUCGCCUUGACACAGUUUAGCAAGCUCGUACUCAACUUCAAGUGCUUCCAGAUCAUUGAGGCUGAUGUAAAACAUCAGAGAGAAAGCAUGAUUGGGGCCGUAACCGAGCCAAGAAUCCAAUAGACCACCUUGGCGUUGUUGUUUUCUCAAGUAAGAGCAGCCUUUUCAUGAGAUUUGGUCGUUGUCGCCGUCACGGGAACAGCCUCUGAAUCAGUAGUAAUCGACGUAGCAGAAGGAGGAGUAGGAGCGGCCGUAUCUCCAUUAAGAUACCCGAGAAACCCAUUUGCUUGAACGUGGAGACGAAAUUGAUGUUCCCAAAAAGCGUAAUUUUUUUCCAACGAAGCGAGUAGUAACAUAAUCAUCUUUGAAAGUCCAUCGAAGGCUCUGAUACCAUGAAUAGCUAUGAGAAAUUGAGAGAAGAGGAUGAUCAAAGAUAGGACAAAAGCCAAUUAUAUUGCUUAAGGAGUUUGAUUACAAUUCAAGGAUUAUGUAUAGGUUAGGAAGACUUAACCUAAACCCUAUAAUAUAGGAAUCAAUAAAUAUAUUGACAAAAUAUAUAUUCCCAUUUUAAUAAGUGUAAACUCAAAAACGAGGAUACAUGGGGCAGGGGUCGUCAUUAAAAGCAUAACAUGACCCUUUUCCUUACUCUCCUGACAAAUUAAUACCAAAAUCAGCUAACCUAGACACUUGACAUAACCCAAAAUUCAAACAAAAACAACUAGUAAUCAUCCGAAAAGAAAAGCAACAAAAUCAAAUCAAAAUCCGAACAUGCCUAGUCUAUUUAGAGGAAGAAAAAAAGAGUGCGUAGAGGAAACUAUGGUCGUCUGCCGUUGUCUAUUCAAGGUGACCCGCCUCCGUAGUGCCGUUCUGAUGCCAUAGCUAUGCUUUUUGCAGAAUUUUGAUGGUUUGUGACCGAAGUUUUAAUCCAAGGACAUGUCUAUAACCUGCCGUUCCACCAUCGUCGUAGUCAUUGAAGCCAUCGCCAGAUCUGGAUCCAUUGUGCAAAGGAGCGAUGACAUAGAGGUUGUUUGCCGCAGGGGAUCCGACCUAAUAGUGAAAUCGAGCAAAGAGGAUGUUUCGCUACGGAAAUCCGAGCUGGUGAGGAUGCCCCUUAAAAGUACGAUCUGAUGAUGAUGUUCGCGGAGUAUGAGCUGGUGGUGAAAUGGAUGAUAGAUGGGUGGCGGCGGGUUGGAUAGAUGAUGGGAGGCGGGUUGGACAGUUGAUUUGUAGGAGCGACGAGUUUGAACGGGUGAUAGGUGGGGGGGGGGGGGGGGGGGUNNNNNNNNNNNNNNNNNNNNGGGGGGGGGGGUGAGUUGGACGGAUGAUAGUAGGGGGGUUGGAUGGAUGAUAGAAGCGGCAAGUUGAAUGGAUGGAGGUGGUGAUUUGAUGAAACACUUAAAAAUUAGGGAGAGACUAAAACCCUUAAAGGUUAGGGAUUACACAAAAGAACUUCUACACAACUUUUUGUGUUUGUUGUAAUGCUUUGUUAAGUUUUGUUAUAAAUAAAUCUGUUACGAAGUCAUGUAACCAGUUAUUAAGUCAUGAAAUAGGUUAUAGACAGUUAGAACCUGUUACUCGUGUAACUUGUUACUGGUGACCAUAACCUAUUACCAACCCGUGUAACAAGUUACUAAAUUGUACAACUGGUUCACCAGUUACUUGUGUAACUUGUUAUAGCAAUUAUAACAUGUUACCAAGCCGUGUAAUAGGUUACUCAUGAUUAUAACAUGUUACUCGUGUAGCCUGUUAAAACAAUUAUAACCUAUUAAAAGUCUCGCCGAAAAAUUCACCGGAAAGUGGACGGAAGAUCGCGGAAAAAUUCAUUAGAGACUUUCCGGAAAAUUCAUUGGACAGUCGCCGGAGACUCACCGGCAGUGAGAAGGUGACAUGAACUUUUUUGAAAUAAAUACAAUUAAAAUAAUUAUUCGUAAAAGAGUUGGAAAAUAUGAAUUUUUCCUUACGUCUCUUUAGAUUCUCAGAAAUUUAAAAUUUCAUCCAAUGACUCAUAUUCUACUUAAAGUGCUUGACAAGAUGAAGUGUUUGAAAAAAGGGUUUCACAUUUUUUUUUAUAAUUUCAAUGAUAUAUUAUUUUAAGAAAAUGUGUAUUCAUAUUAUUAAAUUUAAUUAUUAAUGGCAAAAUAGGUAUCGUUCAAUUAANNNNNNNNNNNNNACAAGCCAAUAAAAAAAAAGAUGUGUCUCCCUAAUAAUGGGUAGACUCAAGAAACUUCGAUUGCCUAACUAACACAUGGGAAAUUUUGUUUUGCUCCCUCCUCACAAACUUAACCAAGAAAAAAGUUUAGACAACAAAAUAUCCUUUCCAACAUCCCCGAACUCAUACUAGUCCGUUGGUGUUUUACCGUGAUAUUAGAAAUAGAAAUUUUGGUCUUAAAUUUCUAAAUUACCCUUAAGGAAGUUCAAUAGAAAUUGUCUAGUAAAAAAUUAUUAUUAUUUUCUGUUUGGAUUAUGAUUAUGUUGAUGGAUAGGAUUAUUAUUAUUAGUCUGUGUUUAAAUUAGCUUAUAAAUUACUUGUUAGUUAUAGUAAAUUAGUAGCAAGUAUGAUUGGUUAAUUCACCCAUACUUAAAUUUUUUUAUUAAGAUAAAACAGCUAUAAAAUUUGUCCGUAAACCUACUGAACCGAGAUGAUUCAUAAAAUGAGGUAUGGCAAAUUAGCUAAGUGUUUAGGUUGACGGCUAGGAGGUCCCUAGUUCGAUCAUCCUCUUAUAUAUAUAUAUUUAUUUAUUUUCUUUUCCCUGAAAUUUGUAUGACGUCAUCAUAUCAUUCCCAUAAUUUCCUUUUUUCCAGUUCUACGCGUUUCCUCCAAACCUUCCACCCUGAGAUUUCCGACGACAAUCACAAGAUUUCCUGUUUUUUAUUCAACACGAUCUCACCCAUUCUACUUAGUAUAUAGAUUGGAAGAUUAACCCUCAUCAAUUCCCUUAACACCCGACCUCCAAUCUCCCCAUAAAUGAUUCAAGGUUGAGCUGUUGAAAUCCUCGAAGGCGUUUUGAUUACCAACAACGAACGAGGUGAUUCUCGAUGACGGAAAAUCCGAGACUCCCACCCUAACCGUAGGAAUGGCGGAAUCAGGAUGUAUAUCACUGAGCCGGAUUUGAAUCGGAAAUUUAUAAGUCUAUCGAGUAAUUAAUUGAUGAAUUAAUCUUAAUAUUAUUUUUUUAAAAAACAAAUUCAUUGUACGGUUUUUAGUUGAAAAUCUAAUAUAUGUGCCACUGACGAGUUUUUUAUCUUAUAUUUGAAUAUUUUGAACUAAAUAUAUGAUUUUUACUUAUUCUAAACAAAUAAGUAGAAAAGCAAAACUUCAAAUACUAUUAGCCGAGUUAUGAAAUCAUCAAAAUUUUACAUAUAAUUUAGUGCUCGAGACAAAAAAACAAGAUAGUCGAGACUCUCACUGGGUCCAUCUAGUUUCGACACGAUCAAGCACUGAUUCAUGCUCAAAAUUGCCUUGAACCAUCCUCGUAAAAUUUACAAUUAUAUACCCAAAAUUAAUAGUUCAUACCGAAACUGGGAUGAGCUGGGACUCCCCCGGGCCACCCCUAGUUCCGCCAGUCAAUGAAGCUAGCCUGGUUCUCAAUGGAGCCAAAGCAGAGGGUUGCGUGAGGUAUUUAAUUUCACGAGGUCGAUAGGUCCUCAAUCGGUGAAGCUUCCCCCAACCAAAUUCUGGUGACUCAAAGCUAACUCUCGAUCAUAGCAAGACGACGACGUGUUCGCCCUGCAGUUCCCACUCCUAAGACGAGUGCCAUCGUUACCUCAAUUUUGAAUUAAGGUUCAUAAAGACAAUCAUGUUUCCAACUUCACUUUGCUUUCUCGUGUUGGAUCCUCCUUGUUUAAAUUAAUAAGAGGGUACAUUUUUUAUGUUGUUGUAGUUAGGUUAUGCUUUAUUCAUUUGAUUGAUUUACAUGAUUUUAUGAUUAUGUAUUUGCAUUAUGUUUAUGUUCAUUUCUUUUAUGUGUAGAAUGAUGUGUCUUCAGAUUAUGAUAAGGCUAGGCUAAUAUAUUAAGGCUAGACUAACGAUAACGUUUGACCAUUAAGGUUAGUAUUAUGACAAGGAUAGAUGACAAGUGAGUAGUGAAUAAAUAACCAUACCUAGAUGAUUAAUGUGAAACCCGCCCUAUACGACAUGGCCGAACCGCACGGUUCGACCCAUACAUUACUCACUGGUUCACUCAACACAUAAUUAGACAUAAACAUACACAUUAACUAAAUUCUAAAAAUGUUUCAUAACAUAAGUAUACAAAAACCGAGCAUCCAUAGCUCGAAACCAAUACUAACAACGUAAAACAACCCAAACAAGGGAACUUAACAAUAACCAGAGAUCAGUCUACUAAAAUUACUGAAAAAUCUGAAAAUCUAGAAACAUGAAAACAUCUUAAAAACAUGUAAGGGAUAAUGAGGUCCUCCAAGGUACCUCUCUUUACAACUCUCAUAUUCACUCAGUCGAUGUGUCAUUGCUCGUGUAGCUCUCUUAGGCGGCAUUUGCUCCUAAAGUCCCAAAGUUUAUGAUACCAAGUAAAAUAGAGAUGGGGUCAGUGACAAGCACUAAGUGACUAGGCCAAACAUUCUCUAAAUCAUAACACAUCACGAACCUGUAUAGUAGAUGACACGGUAUUGCACAGUCCUGUGAACCUAAAUUUGGAUUCCUAACAACCUAAAUACAAUUCAACGCUUAAAACAGAAAAGCAUUCUCUAAACCCCCACCUCUGAAAGCUUUCCCGGUAGAGUCUGAUUCGAAGCAGUCUGCCUGGAGAUCAAUCUCUUGUUUUGUAUGACCUAUAGAGAUCAAUUGUAGGAUUAAAAUCUCAAAACUUAAAAUCUUAACGUGUUAGGAUUUUCCUACGUAGGAUUCAAAGCAAGGGAUUGAGAAUGGAGGAAGAGGAUAGAUUUCCUUCUGAAGCUUCCUUAAUGAUCUUAAAGCCCCAACUAUUGAUCUGGGAUCGAUCGACUUUACCUUCUUUUCCUCCAAAAAUCGGUCGCCAUUUGUCAGAGAGAAAUUUCAAAUAGGUUUCUAUAAAUUUUGAGUUGCAAGUGUUACUCUAUUUUUAUAAAAAGUCCACCAUGCCCGUGGCAGACUUACCACCACGCAUGUGGGAACCUGGUAACCAUGCCCAUGACCUACUGAUGGGCAUGGUCGUGACUGACUUCUGACCACGGUCGUGGUCUACCUAUCAACCACUCUCGUGAUAGACUGACGGUCAUGCCCGUGACUGUCCAUUAAUCAAUGAAUUCUCCAGAACUCAUAGAACAUUGGCUUAAAGCUAGAAUCAAACAACAACCCGAAAUCAGAGUGUCACAACUCUCCCCUUCUAAAAAUGGUUUCGUCAUGAAACCUGAAUGUGAAAACUUAACACAUGAAAAGAAAUUACCUACUAGGGAAUCCUCCACGAGCUCCGGGUAGUGUUCCUGCAUGCUAGCUUUGGUCUCCCAUGUCAUAGCCUCGACAUCCUAAUUUCGCCAAAUCACCUUCAGCAUAGGCCUUUCCUUGCUCCUCCACUUGUAGACCAUCCUAUCCACAAUCCGAGUUGGUUUCUCUAGAAAGGUCAAAUCCCUCUCCAACUGAAUUCAUCUGGCUGGAUUACCUGAUUCGGCCUACCAAUGUAAGCCCAAAGCAUGCUCACAUGGAAUACAUUAUGCAUCUCAUCAAACUUGACAAGUAAAGCCAACUCGUAAGCCACUUUUUCUAUCCUCCGAAUGAUAUCAAAGAGACCAAUGAAUCAGGGAGCCAACUUCCCCUUCCUGCCAAAACAAAUCACUCCCUUCCAUGGAGAUACCAGAAGAAAGACCUUAUCCCCUUCCUUGAAGCUAACUUUCCUAGUCUUCUUGUCUGCCUACUGCUUCUAUCAAUUCUGAGCUACACCCAGCUAUGCUCGAAUUACUCUAAGUCACGAGGCCGUUUCUUGAACAAUCUAAGGUUCAGUCAACACUUUCUCUCCCUCCCCAUCCUAGAAGAGAGGGGUACUGCAUUUCCUACCAUACAAACCCUCGAAUGGAGCUACCCUGAUGUUGUGAUGGUAGGUGUUAUUAUAACUCCACCAUCUACAAAACCUUUAACCAAGGUUCAUCAAGUAUUUGAUACUCUUGUGAUCAGUCUUGAUCCUAAAAGUCUAACCAUACAAGUAGUGUCUCCACAGUUUCAAUGCGUAGACCACCGCUGCCAGCUCCAAGUCAUGAACUGGGUAAUUCACUUCAUGCACCUUCAAAUGGCAAGAUGUCUAUGCCACUACUCUGCCAUCCUGCAUCAGGAUGCAGCCUAACCCCAUAUAUGAUGCAUCACUAUAAAUAACAUACUCACCCUCGCAACCCCGGUAACGUAAGUACUAAUGCUGUGGUGAGUCUCUUUUUCAGCUCCAUACAAACCGCAUGUCCUUCAUGGUUAGCUUGUGGAGUGGCCCUACUAUCUUUGAGAACCCCUCCACAAACUUCCUGUAGUACCCUGCCAUGCCGAGAAAAUUCCUCACCUCGGUCACGCUCCUCGUGGUGUCCAAUUCACGAUCGCUUCCACCUUCUUCGAAUCCAUCUUGAUGCCCCGUUCACUAAUUAGAUGUCCCUGAAACAACACUUGAAUCAUCAAAAACUCACACUUAGAUAAUUUGGCAUACAAUCGCUCCCUCCUCAAGGUAGCCAAAACUUUUCUUAAGUGCUUUGCAUGCUCCUGCUCCAUCUUGGAGUAGGCCAAGAUGUCAUCAAUUAAUACUAUGAAAAACUUGUUUAUAUAUCCAUGAAACACAUUGUUCAUCAUUUCCAUGAAGGUGACAUGGGCAUUGCUCAACCCGAAUGACAUUAUUAAAAACUUAUAGUGACCAUACCUUGUUCGAAACACCAUAUUAGGUACCACUUCGUCCACUUCCUUCAACUGAUGAUACCCUAUCCUCAAAUCAAUAUUAGAGAAAACUGGGUCACCUUGAAGCUGAUCAAAUAGGUCAUCAAUACAAGGCAGAAGAUAUCUGUUCUUGAUAGUUACAUGUUCAGCCUCCUGUAGUAUAUACACAUCCGUAUAGAUCCAUCCUUCUUCUUCACGAACAACACCAACGUACCCGAAGGUGACACACUAGGGCGGAUGAAACCCUUCUCUAACAGCUCCAGCAACUCCUCCUUAAGCUCCUUCAACUCAAUCGGCACCAUGUGGUAGGGUGCUAUCGAUAUAGGUGUUGUGCCCGACACCAGCUCUAUAUCAAAAGGCACCUAUCGCUCAAAAGGUACCUCCAACAUGUCAUCUCGAGAAACAUUAGGGAACUCCUAAACUACUAGUAUAUCCUCAUUAUGUCCUCCUACAUCCAGGAGAAUAUGUGCUAUGAAAGCCUCACAUUCACCUCUAAUCAGCCUUUUCGCCUUCAAGCCAUAAAUGAAAGGAGGCCCGUGGUGGAUAUUUCUCUGAGUCCCCAUGAUGACUACUCCCUCCUUUUCAGGUGUAGAAAACCUAAUUUUCUUCUUCUUACAAUCCACCAUGGCUCCAUGGUGCUCCAGCCAGUCUAUCUCCAAAAUCACGUCAAACUCAUCAAAAGGAAAAACGAUGAGGUUCACCAUAAAGUCCCUAUCCUCAAAGACCAUGACUGCUCUUCCUCUAACUAAGACUCCACCAGUAGAGUCUUUCCUACUAGGUACUAAUCAUAAACGAUCUACUCAUCCUAGUAGGUAUAAAGGGAAAAAGACGAGUAACAAUAGUAGAGAUGAAAGAGUGUGAAGCACCCUGCAUGAAAGAAUCUUCCAAGAAUGACAAUCGUACCCGUGAUGGUAUCCGGGGAGACCUCUUCCUCAACUAUGGUGGGAUACACCAUGCUCUGUGCCUCUGGGAUUCUCCCUUACGACGUCCCCAGUCCAAAGGAAACUGCAUUAGUGCCCGUGAACAGAUCCUUAAAGCCUCGUCUCAUCCUAUUGCCAGACGAAGCCCUUCCCUAUUGUACUAUCGCCUCCAACAUUACGGGCUUACUCAACCCGGUGCACUCUUGAGCAAAAUGGACCUGCUGCCCACACCAAAAGCAAGCUCCUGCUCUCUUCAUACAUGCUCCCUAGUGUCGUAUCCCACACUCGGGACAAGAUGGAUGGUCAACCCUAUAGUGGACUGCUUCUCCUGGUCUACUGGGAUUAUAGGCAGAGAAACGAGCCUAAGAUGUAGGAUUACCACAAUAUGUAUCUUUCCUCCUUUGAGGUGCUCGUGGCAACUGCGACCCGCCUAAAGCCACAUUCCUUUUCUUCUCCUCAUGCCACGCCUCACGCUCCCCCUUCCUCACACUCUUAAGGUGCUCAGCCCUCAAAAUUGCCGCCUUGAUAUAUGCUAGGGUACCUGUAUCACUACUGGUGACCCCAAACUGAAUAUGAGCUCUCAGCCCAUCUAGAAACACCUGCUUUAUAUCCUUCUUCUUCUGCUUAGGGGAGCCGUUGUACCACCUGUUCAACCUGGUGAAGCGUUGAGGAAGUCAACCACCUUCAUGUCCCCCCUGCCUAAGGUUGAUGAACUCAGCCCUCUUGUUCUUCUUCCACUACUCUGGCAUGAACUCUUUCUUGAAAAAACCUAGGAAUUCCUCCCAAUCCUGUCCAAACAGAUCGUCCUCGACCUCCAGCUAGUUACUCCAUAGCUCUUUUGCUAUACCUCUUAGUAGGUAAGCAGCAUACAACGACCUCUUCUCUAGCACAGGCUAUAGAUACCUGAACGCAUUCAUCAACUCUCUCAGCCAAUCUACUACUAAUUGCUGCUCCGUAGACUUCCCAUCAAAAGUAAUGGCACCCACACAAGUUAGCUCCUUGAAAGCCAGUCGAGGCACAUGUGGACCACUUAAAACUCAUCUCAGCUUUUUAUGGGAAACGUGAAAACUUUUCAAAACAUUGAACACGCUCAUAGGGUGCAUACUGCCAUGCCCAUGGGGUACAUAAUGCCACGCCCAUGGUGUACCAUUGGUCGCGCCCUUGGCUUACAUCUUGCCAUGCCCAUGACUGGCAUUACCACCCCGUGAUGUACUUAAGAUCACGUAUGUGGUUCGUAUCCCCUAACCGCACUUGGCCUACUGACUAACCACACAUGUGGUUGUCACUAUGUCACUGUUGUUGCCCAUUACUAGCCACGCCUAUGGUGGUCUAUCCACCACGCCUGUGAUGUACUAUCCGCAACGGUCGUGGAUGACUCUCCCAUUUCAUUAUUCAAAGAAACAAUUAAAACUUACAAACGCCUAACACAAAUGAAACAUCUCCCUCGAUUGUUUAGUAAUGAAAUACUAUCAGCACUGCUUGUGUUGAGGUUCAUGACGCCUCGAUACCAGUAAGCAUAGUCAUGUAGUAGAGAACAACAAGGCGUUGAUACCCAUUGUGAAACCCGUCCGUUGAGGAUCCAGCCAAACCACACGGUUUGACCCGUGCAUUACUCACGGGUUCACUAAACACAUAAAUAAACAUAAACAUAUAUAUUAACUGAAUUAUUAAAAUGCGUCACAACAUAAGUAUACAACAAAUUGAGUAUCCAUGGCUUGAAAUCCAAUACUAACUAGGGAACUCAAUAACUAGAGAUAAGCCUACCAAAAUGACUUAAAACAUCCAAAAAUCCAUAACAUGAAAACAUCUAUAAAAAUGAAAGGGAUAAUGUGGUCCUCCAAGAUAUCUCUCUCUAUGACUCCCAGAUCCACUCGGUCGAGGUGUCGCUACUUAUGUACCUCUCUUAGGUGGCAUUUGUUCUUGAAGUCCCAAUGUUGAUCAUAUAAGGAUAAAUAGAGAUAGGGUCAGGGAUAAGCACUAGCUAACUAGGCCCAACUCGCGUAGAACAAUAAUAAGCAUCUUAUAAAGUGACCAUGUAGUCCCAUAGGCAUCAUCCUAGCAUUAGUCACCCCUAAAUUUAGUUGACAAUCUCAUGGUGGAUCAGACCAUGAAAACCACCCUAUAAACCGUAGAUAUCAUGCGAGCAGCACUAGGAGGCAUCCUCGACACGCUCCGUAGAACAUCUUGACGGGUUAUGCAAUCCAAGGGUGGGUGACCAAUGCAUAAUCUAGCUAAACCUGAAUCCUAUCCUAAACAUGAAUUGUAAAUCAUAGUUCAAACGUCAUGAGGUUAUGCUCGAUGUUAAACAACAACCUGUAUAGUAGAUCACACGCUACUGCACAGUCAAAGAGCCCGGUUCUGUUUCACAACCUCUAUAUAGUAUAUCACAUGCUAUUGUACAAUCUUGAAAGCUCCGCUCUGAACCAUAACACAUCAUAGAUUUGUAUAGUAGAUCACAUGCUACUAUACAGUCCUGAGACCCCAACAUAGGAUUCCUGACAACCUAAAUACAAUUCAAUGCUUAAAGCAGUAAAAGCAUUCUCUCAACCCCGACCUCUAGUUCCCGGUAGAGUCUGAUUCGAAGCCGUCUGCCUAGAGCUCAAUCUCAACACUAUAUGACCUGUAGAGAUCAAUUGUAGGAUUGAAACCCCAAAACCCCAAAUCCUAACCUGUCAGGAUUAUCCUACGUAGCAUUCAAAUCAAGAGAUUGAGGAGGGAGGAAGAGGAUAGAUUACCUUCUAAAGCUUCCUCAAUGAUUUGAAAGCCCCCACUCCCGAUCUGGGAUCGAUCGACUUGACAUUCUCUUCCUCCUGAAAUCGAUCAUCAUUUGACAGAUAAAAGUUUCAAAAAGGUGUCUGUAAAUUUUGAGUUGCACGUCGCGACUCUGUUUUUAUAAAUAGUCCAACACGCCCGUGGCCACCUCGCAACCACGCCCGUGACCUACUGACGGUCAUGAUCGUGAUCGCCUAGGGGUCAUGCUCGCGACUGAAAUCUGACCAUGGUUGUGGUCUACCUAUCAACCACGCCCGUGCCAAAUGAACAGUCACGCCUGUGACUGUCCAUUCAUCAGCGAUUCUCCAAAACUCAUAGAACACCUGUUUAAAGUUAGAAUCAAACAACAACCAAAAAUCGGGGUGUCACAAUUAAUAGGUGGACUAAAAGGAUGAACUCAUUUCCUAGACAAUCACCCACAUGAUUGGGCUAGUUUUGCUCGCACGAUAUGUUGUAUGAGGAUACGUUCUCCCAGACAUCCACAGUUUUCAUGAUAUGUUGUUUGAGGAUACGUUCUCCCAAACAUCAACGAUUUGGGUGGUAGGGCUAGUUAGCUGAGUUGGGGGCGGCUACAAGAAUUAAGAUACCCUAUAUAAGGUUUAGAACAAGUACAAGAAUUAAUGUCAUGUAAUUGACCUUCACAAACAUGAUGAUUAGGGUAUAACAAGUUACAAGAACCAUGAUACUCACGAUCUCGUAAUACACCUAAUAUGAUUGGCUUGAGUUCCAUUUUUAUGAUGAUGAUUAAUUACUUGUUAUGAUUAAGGUGAUGUGUGUUAGGAUUGCAUAAAUAUGAUUUCUUUAUGUAAUAUGUAUAUUAUAAAUAUUGAUGAUUGUUAUGAAUUAACAUAAUUUUCACUAUUUAUUAUGGAAUUCUGAUUUAUGAUUUGAGCACGAAAGACUGGCCCCGAACCACCCACCAGGGUGCUUGAAAGUUAAUGCAGGAGCAGAGUGUAGCUGAUUCGAGCGAUAUCGCAACGUGGACUUCAAUUUUCAAAAGAGCAUUUACGUUUCCUUUCGAAAAAGAGUAUUUAUGUUUAAUUUAUUGAGACUUUAUUUUCAAUGCGAUUUUGUAGAGGCUUGUUAGUAAUUAAAAUUUUAUUUUAUUUAUUCUAUUUAUUUUUUAUUUACUCUUAUUUUUUAUUUUUUAAAAUUCCUUGAUCGGUGCAUUUUGAUCAUUUAAUAAUUCUGUAAAAAUGAGGGUGUUGCAUUUUGGUAUCAAAGCUGGUCUUCCUCUGUCUCGUUGGGAAACAGAGGAGUGACUAAGAGUCGGUCAUGUUUUAAGAAGUCAAAAUCGUUUUGAAAUUAAGUCUUAGUUUUGAAAAUGAUUUAUGUAUUUGAGCAGGUCUAAAAUCCACUCCACCAAAUCGGGUCACUCUACAGAAAGGUAUUAGCAUGUGAUUAUGGUUAGAAAUAUUAGCGAAAUUCCUGCCUCAAUUUCGAAGACGAAAUUUCUUUGAAGUGUGUAGGAAAUGUUAAACUCUCAUCUUAGGGAUCGAAAUUUUGGUCUUAAAAUUUCAAAUUACCCCUUAACGAAGACCAAGAAAAAUUGUCUAAUAAGAAAUAAUUAUUACAUUGUAUUUGAAUUAUGAUUAUGUUCAUGAAUACGAUUAUUAUUAUUAAUCUGUGUUUAAAUUAGCUUAUAAAUUACUCAGUCAGUUAUAGUAAACUAUUAAUAAGUAUNNNNNNNNNNNNNNNNNNNNNNNNNNNNNNNNNNNNNNNNNNNNNNNNNNNNNNNNNNACAACUGUUGAAUUAGUCCUUAUACCUAUUGAACCAAAAGAUUCAUAAAAUGAGUUAUGGUGGAUUGAUUAAGUGUUCAAGUGGACGAUUAGGAGGUCUAUAGUUCGAUGCUCCCCUAAAAGUUGGAUGACGUCAUCAAUGGCAUCAUCAUCUCCUUCUCAUAAUUUUCAUUUUUCCAGUUUACCCUAAUUUUAGAGGUANUUAUUAUUAAUAUUUUAUAUUUAAUCAUCAUUUAAUUUAUUUAUUUAUUAUAAUCAAAUUAAAAAUUAUUUGAACUGUCGAGCUUAUUAGUACGUAAUAGAUUAAAUUAGAUAAAAUUAGAUAAAUCAGCUCUAGCCAGCGGUUAGAUCUUCAGAUUCGUUAAAUGAGCAGGGAUGAGUCAAACCAUUAUUUUAUUAGUUGGUAGCUUGGACGAGCCUAGACAAUUAGAUAGAUCUUACGGUAGGAAGUGAGGCCGGAUCAUUUCAAGAAAAAGGAAUGGGUCCUGAGGUCAAUUGAAAUUCUGGAGACGAGAAUUGGUUUGAGCCAUUAGAUACAUCCAGCGGUGGUUUGGGCCUGAGUUAUCAAUCAACAGAUGAGAGCCCAAUUAUUGGAUUUAAAUUCCUAAACCUAUAGUAUUUGACAGAGGGAGGGAGAUAAGAAAAAGGCGCCGCCUCCGGGUUUCGAUCGUUGGCUUCGAGCUCGUAGACACUAGAGCUUGGGGAUGGAAUCGAUCAGCGAAAAGGCUCAGGGAACGAGAUUCGUGGGAGGUGCCGGAGAUCGAAGGACUGGCCGGGAGUUUUGAGAUCGACCGACGCAGCUGGAGAUAGAGACCAGAUUCGAUGAGUCCGGCGAUCGAUCAAGGAGGCGGAGUGCAACCCAUCGCUUGAACAGAGACAGAUAGAGAGUCAACAGUAUUGCGGUGGAACCGCCGUCGGAAUUAAGGGAGAGAUAGAUGCUACUCUAUGGCGGGAUAGAAUCGGCAACGGUGGGACAAAAGUAAGAGGAGGGGCCUCGAUCGGAUGUUUGUAGAUUGGUGAGAAGGUGUGGAUCCAUCGAAUCAGGUGCAAGGAUGCAAGCUAUGUUCGCCGGAAGAAUUCGAGGGUGGUGACUUGUUAAAGGCCAAUAAAAAACCUGCAAUCUGACGUCUCCAACUUUCAUGGACAAUUGUUAUAUUUAAAUUAUGAAGUUCAAUUCAUUUAUGUUUAUGUAAUUUUUAUGUUUAAAUUAUGAAGUUCAAUUCAUUUAUAUUUAUGUAAUUUACUUUAUUCGUAUGAUGGAUUUAUGUGCCUAGAUGAUUAAGUUAGCUAAAAAAUUAUAUGAUUAGGUAGUUAGUCUAAAAGAAAGAAUUACCCUAAACCUAGACCUUCAGUGGAUAGAAUGUACGGCUUUAAACCACUAGAAAUCCAAAGUUUAGCUAAUUGGGCAACUAGAAAUUCACUAUUAUCAAUUGGACCUUAUGUUAUAAUAGUUUUCGCUGUCUGUUAAAGUAUUUAAGUUUAUUUUUACGUUAUUAUAUUUUAUUUAUUUUUUAAAGUUCCUUGGCCAGAGCAUUUUGGUCAUUUAAUAAUUCCAUAAAGAUGAGGGUGUUAUAGUCGAGUCUCCUGCAUUUAUCGCAUUGACCAUGACUUGGGCAUCCAUCUCCAUUUUGAAUCGUUAAAUCUUUUGGUCAACACACCACUUCAACACAUCCCAUAAUGCCAUAGCUUUGCUUUCCUACACAAUACCCAUCUUAUGUUGUUCGCUAAAAUUGGCCGCAUCUACACUGUACUUCCAUAAAAGAGGCGUUGGCGGAUGCCAUUUCUUACAGCCUCUAUCAUACAUCGCUUGAGGAGCUCUUUGCACUGUCAAUCAGUCUGUACAAUCAUCAGUUGCCCCUUGCACAACAUCUCGUUAUGUUCUCGUCUUGGAAUGCCAUUGCCGGGGACCUCUCUCGUUCCUUCAAAAGGACUUAGUCGGCGCCGAUUUAGGCAUUCCACUCCGUUUUAGUUUUAUUUUCCCGUCUUUUUGUUGUUUGUUUGGGUUUCACUUUGGUGUGUUGUUUUUGGAUGUGCAAGAGUUUGUGUGUGUAAUUUAUGAGACAAUCUAGCCGAAUCCGUGAGCGACGACUUCGGAAUCUGCAAAGCAAUCUCACACCGCCUCAACUCGUGUUCUCUCCUCCACAUCAACCCAUCCUCAACUUAGAGAUUGUGCUACCAGCACCUUCACCACCUCAUUCACCACUCUCAUCGGCCUUCUCAUCACCAAUGGUUUCUUCUCACUACAACUCUUCAAGCGAAGAAGCGGAUUUCGAGGAAGCCAUCAUAAUGGGAGACGCAGCACGCACACUUGGGGAUUAUGUUAAGCCUACACUCGCAGGCACUGGCUCGAGCAUAGUUCCUCCACCGUUUGACAACCGGAAUUUUGAGGUGAAGACCCCAUAUGUCCAGAUGGUAUAGUAGCGACCAUAUUCAGGCAAUGAUCAUGAGUGCCCGAGUCAGCAUCUGAGACACUUCACCAAGAUCAUAGAGCUCAUGAAGUUCAACGGUAUCCAUGCGGAUGUGGUUCCCAUAAGGCUUUUCUCCUUCUUGCUCCAAGGGAAGGCCAAAGCUUGGUUGGACAACCAACCGAUCAACUCAUUCAGGACGAUCAACCAAGCUGUUGAUGGUGAUCUAUAGUCGCUUACUCCAACAAGGUGUUUGCAGCGAUUCAGGGAAAUGGCUGUCAAGACUAAGAGUUGGGCGCGCCAACAAGCCCCGAGGGGCCUACAGGCACCACAUGCGCCACCACAAUCAAACAACCGCCAACAAGCACCGAGGAGCUUACAGGCACCAGUUGCUCCACCAUCAUCAAGCACGCCCCAGCAAACCCUCGACGACAACUCUGACCAAUCUCUACAUCUCCUCCAUUCCAAGGUUGAUGCAUUUUGAUUUCCCCUAAUUUCGGUUAGUGUUCAAAUUUUUAGGUCAAAUUAUGAUUUUUCUGAAAUUGGGUCAAUUGGGUAGAUGCCAUUUGAACAAUGUGUUGUAGGUAAUGCACUUGACUGCUUAGAAGUGAUGUUUAUGCCAUGUUACUUGUGCUUCGCUUGAAAUUAUUUUCAAUAAUGGUUGAAUUUUCGAGUCCGACCCCAAUUUUGAAAUUCUGAAAUUUCAAGAGGUUCAUUUUUUCAGUGUGUUUCAUAUGCCUUGUUGAGGACUUCUUAUGCCUAUGUCAUGCCCGAUUGCUCCCCUUUGUGUUGCUAUGGUUGUUGUUCUUGGCUAUUGUUCUUACACUAGGUGCACUUAUAUUCCAUUGCUCAUUAUAUUAUAUAUCUUGCGUUGUAGAUUGUGUUACUAGUGUUGAAUGUUAUGGUCGCAUAUUGUCUGUUUUGGUCGCCUAUUGUGUGAUAAUUGAAGUUGAAGUUCGUGGAUACUCAUUGUGCUUACCUUUGUGCUAUGCCCUGUGCCUUGCAUUGUUUUUUCAUUUCACGAUGACGUGACCACUUUAAGUGUGGGGGGGGUAUAUUCUCAUAUUUGGGGAUGUUGGGAUAUUAAUCGAGAAGCAAUUUUGUGCGACUUUUGUUUGUUAAUGACAGUGGUGCAGGAUGCAUAGAAAGAAGACUCCUGCCAUAGGCCUAGGGAAAGUUAUCGGCACUGCGAAAAGGCCACGACCAUCCCCUUCCACAGAGCCUUCGUCUGCUGGGACUAGUCCACCAUCAUCUCCACCACGGUCUUCUGUUUCCAACCGUCCACAGCGGGGUGGAGCAUCAUCUUCGGCUAACCCUCGCCCUUCACGGGGGACUUCUCGGCGAGAGACGCCAUCAGACCCUAUUCCAACUGCUACUACUGCUCUACCAAGUUCAGAGGUGGAGUAGACGAUCUUUGACUUUGAGCCAGGAAGUGAGUUCGCUCGCCGAUACGGAGUGUAUCAGACUUGGGCGACUGCUCCACAAGGAUAUCUCGACUUCCAGAGUUUCAUGGAGGAAGGGUGGAGCACCUGGCUGAUGGCAUACUGCAAGAGAGCGGGUAUCUGGCCGCUCGUUUGACUUGAUGAUCAGGAGCUUCCGCAUGCCACCAUGGAGCAGGUGGCCAACAUGGAGGUUAUGUCGUUGGCAACCAUUGAUAGGAGGCCGGUUCCGAACCCGAGGAAGUUCUGGAAGGACAUCGCUUGGGACGAUGCUCCCUACUCUGCUCGGUCCUCGAAGGCGAAGUGGAUAAAUAUACCGAGGAUGAGGCUUCUUCACCUGCUCUUUCGUUGGACCAUCACCGCUAGGAAGCAGUCCAGUAACGGAGGAGUAGUGAACAACACAGACUUGUGGCUUUUCUACUGCCUCGAGAUCGAAGUGAAGGUCCAUCUAGGGGACUUGGUCGUAAACUUAUUCAGGCACCUCUCUGAGCAGAAGGGAGUUGGAGUUCUGUUUUGGGGAAGCUACAUCGCACGGCUGGUGCGAAGGCUUGGAGUGAUGGACUCCUUCGAGGAGGAUCCGCUGUUUCAGCGCAGGUUUCCCAUCACAGUUUGGACUCUCAAGGAGCAUGGAGUCCCGAACUUGCGGGCUAAGAUAGUGGACGAAGGGCCAGAUGUCAAAGAGGGGAAAGGAGCAGACUUCCCCCUGAUACUGUGGAGACUCUGGUAGCACAGAUUGGAGGGCUGCAGAUUAACGUCAGUGACGUUCUCGACAGUCAGAUCUUCCUCAGCCAGGAUUUUCAUCGGUUUGACGGUCGUAGUAGAGCUGCUUGGGAUAACCUGGACCAGAGGACCGAGAGGAUUGAGAGCAAGGUGCAAGGACUCCGCCAGGACUUCCAGGAUUAUGUCGCCGAGAGCAGGGACGCGAGGACUCGUCAAAAGCGACGAGACGAGCAGUUUGCUGAGGUUCAGGCUCAGCAAGGCCAGUGGAUCUAGCAGCAGGGACACCAGAUCACUUACAUCCACGAGCAGCAGCAUUUGCAGAGUGGACACAUGUCCUACUACAAGGACAGUUACUUCACGGGAGCUACCUACCCACCUCCGUGGCCAACCUAUCCAACACCACCACAGUGGCCGGAGUACGAUCCUUACCCUCAGUUCCCUGGGUAUCCAUACCCAUCGCCAGAUCAGUGAUCGCUUGGGGCAUAUCAUGACUCGGACUUUUGUGUGUAUCUUUUAAUUUCGAGACUAUGUCAUUUUUCUUUAUUUUUCUUUAUUUUUCUCUUUGGCC